Misgurnus anguillicaudatus (oriental weatherfish) is the source of this 944-nucleotide long non-coding RNA. RefSeq lists it as uncharacterized. Lineage: Eukaryota; Metazoa; Chordata; Actinopteri; Cypriniformes; Cobitidae. The record is from RefSeq and is a predicted model, not a curated record.
UUAACUUUACAUUCAACAUAUAACCUCAAAGAAAUCAAAAUCAAAUUACACAGUAAAUAAAGCAAAAUAAAGCAAAAUAUAAUUAAAUGUCAAAAAUAUACAACUAUAUACAUCAAUAAAGACAUUAACAUUUCUUCCUCCCCCGGGCAAUUCCCAGCAAGUGGUAUGUUCGGGCGGAACCAAUACUAUUUAAGUUCUGUUCCUGCCCGGACCCUAAUCCUUGUCGCGCCAGGAUGCGGCUGCAGCGGACCAUGCCUGAAGUUCCUCACGGAACAUUGCAAAACUCAUCGACAGCAGAUAUUGGACAGAAAAAACUGCCAAUACAUUUGAAACCACACAUGGAAUCCCGAAGCAGAUAGCUGGGGACCACUGUGGGAUUUACAUACUGAUGAAUGACAUGCCUCUGAUUAGGAGGUGGUGGUGUGCUGUUCUCCUGGACAACUUCACUCUGCAAAUUGUCAACCACUGAGGGUCUUCACUAUUCAAAAAGCAAUGUCUUCAGGCAGAGUCCAGUGAAGCAGUGAAGUUAUUCAGUCAACGGGUGACUCACGUCUUGGUAUGCAGAUGGUUUAGGGAUGUGGUUACUCUAAGUUUUUCGGAAAGCAGAACACGUUGCAUGGCUAGAGGGUGUGGCCAUCUGGAAGAAUUUCACUCCCGUCUACUGGACAGAGUUUAGAUUGUGUACAGCAUCAGGGAAUGCCUGGAGUGCAGAGCCCUUUUCAAUUCGAGGCCUGACAUGGUGAAUUUCUGGGCUUUUACUGAGAUUUUUGCACAGGAUUUAGCUUCCAGGACUUUUUGUGCGACAGGAAACACAUUGGUGUUUUAAGUUCAUAGAAGAGAAAGCGAGAAUGAACUGAGAUCAACUGAUUUUGAUGUAUGAAUUAAUAAUUUUAAGUUAAAACUUUGCAGUGUAUAGUGUUCUAAUAAAAAAGCUUUGUCAAACA